This 207-nucleotide ribosomal RNA is filed under the name uncultured bacterium. Its description in RNAcentral is "partial 16S ribosomal RNA". It matches the Rfam family "Bacterial small subunit ribosomal RNA", at positions 568 to 774 of the family's 1533-position model. The record is from RNAcentral.
CACGUAGGCGGACUGGUAAGUCGGGUGUGAAAGCCCUCGGCUCAACCGAGGAAGUGCAUCCGAAACUAUCAGUCUUGAGUACGGGAGAGGAUCGCGGAAUUCCCGGUGUAGAGGUGAAAUUCGUAGAUAUCGGGAGGAACACCAGUGGCGAAGGCGGCGAUCUGGACCGAUACUGACGCUGAGGUGCGAAAGCGUGGGGAGCAAACA